Trifolium pratense (red clover) is the source of this 285-nucleotide long non-coding RNA. RefSeq lists it as uncharacterized. The record is from RefSeq and is a predicted model, not a curated record. NCBI's taxonomy places the organism in Eukaryota, Viridiplantae, Streptophyta, Magnoliopsida, Fabales, Fabaceae. The transcript has 2 exons.
GAAGAAGCAGAGAAUGAGUUUGAUGAAGAAAUAAGAAGAAAGAAAAUCUUGAGAGAAGGGAAGGAACUUGAAGAGCAAAAUUCAAGCUCAAAGCUAGAGCAUCCAUUAUCUAAGGUUCUCAGGUUGUGUUUGUUGGUGUUCGCGUUGUUGGUGAAAGCUCUGCUCUAAUUGUGACACGGGGAAGGGUUCAUAGAGUCUUUAUUUGUUGUUGUUUUAUUUAAAUUAAAUGUGUAUAUUGUAUAAAAGGAAUUUUGCACAAGUGAUAUUUACUACUCAAUUUUAUUA